CAGUAGCCGCGGGAAUACGUAGGGCGCAAGCGUUAUCCGGAAUUAUUGGGCGUAAAGAGCUCGUAGGCGGUUUGUCGCGUCUGCCGUGAAAGUCCGGGGCUCAACCCCGGAUCUGCGGUGGGUACGGGCAGACUAGAGUGAUGUAGGGGAGACUGGAAUUCCUGGUGUAGCGGUGAAAUGCGCAGAUAUCAGGAGGAACACCGAUGGCGAAGGCAGGUCUCUGGGCAUUAACUGACGCUGAGGAGCGAAAGCAUGGGGAGCGAACAGGAUUAGAUACCCGGGUAGUCCCUGUCUCUUAUAC
RNAcentral lists this ribosomal RNA (301 nucleotides) under uncultured bacterium. Its description in RNAcentral is "partial 16S ribosomal RNA". It matches the Rfam family "Bacterial small subunit ribosomal RNA", at positions 509 to 807 of the family's 1533-position model. The record is from RNAcentral.